GAAUAUUGCACAAUGGGCGCAAGCCUGAUGCAGCAACGCCGCGUGAGGGAUGACGGCCUUCGGGUUGUAAACCUCUUUUAGUAGGGAAGAAGCGUAAGUGACGGUACCUGCAGAAAACGCACCGGCUAACUACGUGCCAGCAGCCGCGGUAAUCCGUAGGGUGCAAGCGUUGUCCGGAAUUAGUGGGCGUAAAGAGCUCGUAGGCGGCUUGUCGCGUCUGCUGUGAAAACCCGAGGCUCAACCUCGGGCCUGCAGUGGGUACGGGCAAGCGAGAGUGCGGUAGGGGAGAUUGGAAUUCCUGGUGUAGCGGUGGAGUGCGCAGAUAUCAGGAGGAACACCGAUGGCGAAGGCAGAUCUCUGGGCCGUAACUGACGCUGAGGAGCGAAAGCAUGGGGAGCGAACAG
This 404-nucleotide ribosomal RNA is filed under the name uncultured bacterium. Its description in RNAcentral is "partial 16S ribosomal RNA". It matches the Rfam family "Bacterial small subunit ribosomal RNA", at positions 359 to 775 of the family's 1533-position model. The record is from RNAcentral.